RNAcentral lists this unclassified non-coding RNA (316 nucleotides) under Hevea brasiliensis (rubber tree). Lineage: Eukaryota; Viridiplantae; Streptophyta; Magnoliopsida; Malpighiales; Euphorbiaceae. The record is from RNAcentral.
UUUUAAGGCCACUGAGAUCGAGGUACUAAAUAUAAAAUAUCCCCUUCGUUUUGUUCAGAUAUGUGCCAUAGUUUUAUCCAUUAUGUGAGGAGCAAAGUUAAUACUGAGCGAAGUUAUAAACAACACACUCUAUUUUUUAGUGAUACAUGACAACUUAUCUGCCACUUAAGUUGGGCUCCACAAGAUUGUAUGUAUGGAGUUACAUUAUAUAUAAUUCUCAGCAGUUGGUGUGAAGUCUUUGUUUAAUUGCAUUUUUGAUGAUGACAAUUCAUACCUAAAACCUUUUUCUUUGUAGGUUGGAGUGGUGAGGAAGGAG